RNAcentral lists this transfer RNA (96 nucleotides) under Nitriliruptorales bacterium. RNAcentral's name for it is "tRNA-Sec". It matches the Rfam family "Selenocysteine transfer RNA". Lineage: Bacteria; Bacillati; Actinomycetota; Nitriliruptoria; Nitriliruptorales. The record is from RNAcentral.
GGAGGUGUCCGGGUUCCUGGUGGGCCCCACGGUCUUCAAAACCGAUGAGCGUGACUCAGUCGCGCUGGCGGGUUCGAUUCCCGUCCACCUCCGCCA